AGCGAACGCUGGCGGCAGGCUUAACACAUGCAAGUCGAACGGUCCUUCGGGAUAGUGGCGGACGGGUGAGUAACACGUGGGAACGUACCCUUAGGUUCGGAACAACACAGGGAAACUUGUGCUAAUACCGGAUAAGCCCUUCGGGGGAAAGAUUUAUCGCCUUUGGAGCGGCCCGCGUCUGAUUAGCUUGUUGGUGGGGUAAUGGCUCACCAAGGCUACGAUCAGUAGCUGGUCUGAGAGGAUGGCCAGCCACACUGGGACUGAGACACGGCCCAGACUUCUACGGGAGGCAGCAGUGGGGAAUCUUGCGCAAUGGGCGAAAGCCUGACGCAGCCAUGCCGCGUGGAUGAUGAAGGUCUUAGGAUUGUAAAAUCCUUUCACCGGGGACGAUAAUGACGGUACCCGGAGAAGAAGCCCCGGCUAACUUCGUGCCAGCCGCCGCAGUAA
Molecule: ribosomal RNA, 447 nt
Filed under: uncultured bacterium
Lineage: Bacteria
Description: partial 16S ribosomal RNA
Rfam family: Bacterial small subunit ribosomal RNA
Source: RNAcentral